Molecule: ribosomal RNA, 253 nt
Filed under: uncultured bacterium
Lineage: Bacteria
Description: partial 16S ribosomal RNA
Rfam family: Bacterial small subunit ribosomal RNA
Source: RNAcentral
UACAGAGGGUGCAAGCGUUAAUCGGAAUUACUGGGCGUAAAGCGCGCGUAGGUGGUUUGUUAAGUUGGAUGUGAAAUCCCCGGGCUCAACCUGGGAACUGCAUCCAAAACUGGCAAGCUAGAGUAGGGCAGGGGGUGGUGGAAUUUCCUGUGUAGCGGUGAAAUGCGUAGAUAUCUGGAAGAACACCAAUGGCGAAGGCAAUGUUCUGGCUCGUUUCUGACGCUCAGGUGCGAAAGCCAGGGGAGCGAACGGG